This 253-nucleotide ribosomal RNA is filed under the name uncultured prokaryote. RNAcentral's name for it is "partial 16S ribosomal RNA". It matches the Rfam family "Bacterial small subunit ribosomal RNA", at positions 524 to 776 of the family's 1533-position model. The record is from RNAcentral.
UACGGAGGGUGCAAGCGUUAAUCGGAAUAAUUGGGCGUAAAGGGCGCGUAGGUGGUGUACUGAGUCUGCUGUGAAAGACCUGGGCUUAACCUGGGGAUGUCAGCGGAGACGGGUAUACUGGAGUGCAGGAGAGGGUCGUGGAAUUUCCGGUGUAGCGGUGAAAUGCGUAGAGAUCGGAAGGAACACCAGUGGCGAAGGCGGCGGCCUGGCCUGCAACUGACACUGAGGCGCGAAAGCGUGGGGAGCAAACAGG